GAUUGUUUGAUCAUGGCUCAGAUUGAACGCUGGCGGCAUGCAUUACACAUGCAAGUCGAACGGCAGCACGGGAGCAAUCCUGGUGGCGAGUGGCGAACGGGUGAGUAAUAUAUCGGAACGUGCCCAGUCGUGGGGGAUAACGUAGCGAAAGCUACGCUAAUACCGCAUACGAUCUAUGGAUGAAAGCGGGGGAUCGCAAGACCUCGCGCGAUUGGAGCGGCCGAUAUCAGAUUAGGUAGUUGGUGGGGUAAAAGCUUACCAAGCCUGCGAUCUGUAGCUGGUCUGAGAGGACGACCAGUCACACUGGAACUGAGACACGGUCCAGACUCCUACGGGAGGCAGCAGUGGGGAAUUUUGGACAAUGGGCGCAAGCCUGAUCCAGCAAUGCCGCGUGCAGGAUGAAGGCCUUCGGGUUGUAAACUGCUUUUGUACGGAACGAAACGGCUCUCUCUAAUACAGGGGGCUAAUGACGGUACCGUAAGAAUAAGCACCAGCUAACUACGUGCCAGCAGCCGCGGUAAUACGUAGGGUGCGAGCGUUAAUCGGAAUUACUGGGCGUAAAGCGUGCGCAGGCGGUUAUGUAAGACAGAUGUGAAAUCCCCGGGCUCAACCUGGGACCUGCAUUUGUGACUGCAUAGCUGGAGUACGGUAGAGGGGGAUGGAAUUCCGCGUGUAGCAGUGAAAUGCGUAGAUAUGCGGAGGAACACCGAUGGCGAAGGCAAUCCCCUGGACCUGUACUGACGCUCAUGCACGAAAGCGUGGGGAGCAAACAGGAUUAGAUACCCUGGUAGUCCACGCCCUAAACGUUGUCAACUGGUUGUUGGGUCUUCACUGACUCAGUAACGAAGCUAACGCGUGAAGUGACCGCCUGGG
Molecule: ribosomal RNA, 873 nt
Filed under: uncultured bacterium
Lineage: Bacteria
Description: bacterial SSU rRNA
Rfam family: Bacterial small subunit ribosomal RNA
Source: RNAcentral